UACGGAGGGAGCGAGCGUUGUUCGGAAUCACUGGGCGUAAAGGGUGCGUAGGCGGAUUAACAAGUCAGGAGUGAAAUCCCCAGGCUUAACCUGGGAACUGCUUUUGAUACUGUUAUUCUAGAGUUUGGUAGAGGUUGGCGGAAUUCCUAGUGUAGAGGUAAAAUUCGUAGAUAUUAGGAGGAACACCAGUGGCGUAGGCGGCCAACUGGACCAUUACUGACGCUGAGGCACGAAAGCGUGGGGAGCAAACAGG
Molecule: ribosomal RNA, 253 nt
Filed under: uncultured bacterium
Lineage: Bacteria
Description: partial 16S ribosomal RNA
Rfam family: Bacterial small subunit ribosomal RNA
Source: RNAcentral